GAUGGGACCCGGCUACAACUACUUCGAGAGGGGCAAUCUCGACAUUUUCAGCGGCCGUGGCCCCUGCCUCACAGCCCCCGUCUGCGCCAUGAAUCUCACCUCCGACGGGUCGGGGCCCCACCACGGCUGGUACUGCAACUACGUCGAGGUCACCACAACUGGAGUCCACACUCCCUGUGCCCAGAAGCAGUUCACCGUCGAGCAGUGGCUCGCCCGUGAUGCGGCGCCGUUUGAACUCACGGCUAUUCGUAAUGAAUGCCCGUCCGAUGUUAUGGGGCUCCGCGAUCCUGUGGAG
RNAcentral lists this long non-coding RNA (295 nucleotides) under Carica papaya (papaya). RNAcentral's name for it is "long non-coding RNA (CPAP_LNC003799)". Lineage: Eukaryota; Viridiplantae; Streptophyta; Magnoliopsida; Brassicales; Caricaceae. The record is from RNAcentral.